Peromyscus maniculatus bairdii (prairie deer mouse) is the source of this 3100-nucleotide non-coding RNA. NCBI's taxonomy places the organism in Eukaryota, Metazoa, Chordata, Mammalia, Rodentia, Cricetidae. The record is from RefSeq and is a predicted model, not a curated record.
GGAAGAAAGUCUAUAUUUGCUCAAUACAGAUGAAUUUUUCUGAAAUACUUUCGAAACACAGAUAAUCCUAUGGCUGACUAAUGAAAAUAUUGAAAACAAGGGACACUUUCUUGGUAUACCUGGAGGCAUACAUCUGAGACACUUUUGGAAGCGGGUUGGUGUGUGUUUAUAAUACACAUAACAGGCAGGCUGAAGCUGAGCACUGUGGUCAUAAACAGUCAUCCAGCCUCCUUGGGGCGACUCGCCAAUUCCUUCGGAGGUCAGGUGAACUUUUCCUUUAAGCUUUGCCCCUUCACUCGGGAGCACAGACAGUGGAGGGCCUUGGAAGACUCAGACGAGGGGAGGGGGCUCUAGCUUGCUUUCCGUUGCUGUGAUAAACACCAUGAUCAAAAUCAAGUUGGGGAAGAAAAGGGUUAUUUCCUACUUCCGGCUCACAGUCUAUUCUUGGGGGAAAUCAGGGCGGAAGCUCAAGCAGAAACAGAAGCCGGAACCCUGAAGCAACAGUGAGCACUGGCUUGCUGUAAGGCGCAUGCUCAGCUCCAUUUCUGAUACAGCCGGGGCCCACCUGUUUAGGGACGACCCCACCCACAGUGGGCUGGGACCUCCCACAUCAACUAGAGAUUAAGAAAACGCCCCGUAGACGCGAUGACAGAACAAUCGGCUUGGGGCAAUUCCCCGACUGAGACUCCCUCAAACGAUUCUAGGUCGUGUUGACAGCUGAAGCUAACUGGGAGAGAUGGCACCUCCAACCACCUUGUGUAACUAGCUCACAUCCACUGGGGGCCGCUUCUCCUUCCUUGGGAGGCCGAGUGGUGCUGGGCCUCUCCUGCAGUCCAACUGUUAGGCUUGGUCUAAGUCGAAUGUCCCUUGACAUAUGCCUUUUGCGUUUAUAGCAGUUUCCCCACAUACCGUUUUUAGAUGGAGUGCUUAGCAGUUUUGUAGGGAGUUUGAAAAACUCCAGAAGCCCAACAGAAUACUUCCGAGGCCUUAUCACAUUUGCCCCGUCAUCACCAUGCACUCUUAUGAAGCCAGAGUGAAGUGUCUUCAGUUUAAAAGAGUGUAGCGUGAGUGUUUUGGUCACUGUCAACAACAAUUCUCACUCUUGGAUUUUUUAAAGAUCAGGGUCACCUUUUUUUUCCGGGUACCAUAAAUCAAAACAAGCAUACAUAUAUGUUUGCCACGUAGUAUGAAUUUGACAUCCAAUGUUGCAGUGGGCUUUUUUUGUUUUUUUUAAACAAGAGGGAUGCCUGAACUAAGCAUGCAGGUGACUGUGUUUCUCUUUCCAACAAAACUGUCAUGGCUCCAUGUUAGCCAUGAUUCACCACAGUUGACGCCUUGUUGUGUUCAUUUACAGAUCUUACCCUCUGUCCUUCACUUUGAGAGCCUCUAUGGAGAGUACGGGCCAUCCUAUCAGAAGCCAGAGCUCUUUGCCUAGGCUUGUUCUAACUUUAUGGCGUUAUAAUUCUACAGCAGCGUUCCACAACACCAGGAAUGGCUUGCUGUCCUAACUAGAAAUGGAGUCUCCCCAUAAGGCUAUAGCUCCCACAGCUGGAUGACACCAAACAAAAGAACAGGGCCUGGCUUCUCUUCCUUGCUUGACACUUUGCAGGAAGUCCCUUGGCUUUCCCCCAGUCUCCCCAGUCUCCUGGGUCCUUGAUGCUCUGGGCUCUUCAGUGCCAUCCCUACCGUUUAAGUUAUGAUUACUGACAGGUGAAAAGCUUCCAUCUCAGAGGAAUAGCUCUGACUGGAGGUGGCAAGGCAGGCAAACCAGCAGUGCUUGGGUCCUCUGUGGGGAAACCUGGGGAGAAACAUGGCUUUCCCAGGCAGCUAACUGUUUCAUCCUAACAAAAAGAGAUGCCGUCUUGAUUUCCGUACCAGCUGAACACCUGAAUAAUGAUAUGAUAAGCAACACAGAACCUAACACAAACUCAUCUAGCAUCCAGGAGCUGAGGAUCGAACCUAUGGCAAGCGCUCUACCACUGAGCUAAAUCCCCAACAACAGGAGCCCUGAUCAUGACCAGAUCCCUGGAAAUGACCCAGCUUUUCUUUAAGAACUGUGAGGUCUGGAAACAGUGGAGCAACCGGUACAGUGCAGAGGCUGAGCAAGUGCAUCCUCGGAAUCCUGCGCCGCCUUGCUUCUCCAUUCAUUUCCAUAUUCCAUGUUUGCCUUCUUCCUCUAUAUGAGUAUCUGCCUGGCCUUUCUAAGCAUCUCAUUUUAUACUUGUUCCAAUCACACAGUCCACAAGUACAUCCCUACUUGGGGCUCAUCAUCAGAGCAGGGAGGUAGACACGUGACUCUCGACACGUUAGGUCCCAGCUCAGUGCCAAGUUGGUCACAAUGUGGCUGUCUGUACCUGAGGUGUUGGAGCCCCGACACUUUGCUUCUCUGGCUACAGAAGAUCAAAGAGUCAACGAGGAAUAUGUGAUUUGGGACAGUCUCUGAGGAUGCAAAAAUGAGAGACAGGUACCUCCUCCACCACUGUUCUGUGCUUGUCUUACUCUUUGAAAACUGAUUCUGUAACUUUAGGGACUGAGACUGGAACAUAGAAAUGUAUUUGGAUUUCAGGAAAUGUUAGGAUUAAUUAUAAUGCAUUGAAUAAGUUACUGAACCUUACAAUGUUUUGGACUAUUUUUUUUUUAAAUAUGGAGGUUGUUUUAGACAACACUUUGAGAACAAUAUUAUGAUGGAAUAUUUGAAAACAAUAUUAUGAAAUAUUAUUUUGUUGUAAAACAAUAACAACAAUCUAUAGAUAAAACCUAAAAGUUUAUCAAAGUGCAACUGAACAAUGAAAAAGGGAUUCACGUGUAUUCAAGUGGCUAGAGCCAUGUCUGUGAAAAUUCUGGGGUCAUUUAAUAUUCAUUAGGUAGUGUAGAAGUUCAAUCCCUCAUUCAAUAGAUUUCUACUGAGUACCCAUUCUAGGUCGAACUGUGUAAAAUUGUCCAUUUCUACAAAAGCAGAAGUUUCAGGAGUUUAAUCAGAAGCAUCCCUGGUGCUGAUAGCACAAGAAUAGACACAGUUAUGCAAAUGACUGCCAGGAAGGGUUAGAGGUACCACGGCAGGUAUGUGGAAGCCCCAUUGGUACCACGGCAGGUAUGUGGA